RNAcentral lists this long non-coding RNA (238 nucleotides) under Elaeis guineensis (African oil palm). RNAcentral describes it as "long non-coding RNA (EGUI_LNC077072)". Lineage: Eukaryota; Viridiplantae; Streptophyta; Magnoliopsida; Arecales; Arecaceae. The record is from RNAcentral.
AUUUAAAAAUAAAAAUAAGAUAUUUUUAUUUUUAAUAUUUUCAAAAAUAAAAAAUUCAUGCUAUACUAUUGCUUGCGCCUCCAUCAUCAUUAUCACCAUUACCUUCACAAUACAAUCAUCAACCCUACAAUCAUUGUUACCAUCAAUUUUUUUCAUGGUUAUCGUACCACCUCUACCAUGCCAUGAUCCCUCCCCCUCCAAUCAACACCACCGUUGCUAUUUUUGUUGAUACCACCAU